GUCUCUCUAUUGUGUUCUGUCUAUUUCUCUCUCUACAGUAGACCCAUCCAUUUAUCUACUGUGUUCUAUUCUGCUCUUUGAACUCAAAUUCAUCAACCACAAGGUUAGGGCAAAUCUGGGAAUAAAAUCGUUGAUUUCUAUCUCAAAAACCCUUGCGCUCGCCCACCAUUCUCUACUUUCAUGGCAAUGCCGCUGAUCUAGGCCAGCUUUACGUCCUCUUUGUUCAGCUCAAAGCCAAUCUCAGAGUCAAUCUCAUUGGAGGGUUUGAGCUAGGAAGAGAUCAACCUCAACUGAGAGCAACAAGUCUACAUAAAGGGUUUGAAAGUUGAGAUGGGCUGGAAUUAUGGUUGCUUUUGCUUGCUCUAUGAUCUAGUGAGGAGCAUUUGGUUGUGUUGAAGGAACCAUUCAACUAGAAGUGAUCGAGUGUUGGAUUUUUAUGGGGUGAUACUAGCUGCUCUUUUUU
This is a long non-coding RNA of Camellia sinensis, 463 nucleotides long. RefSeq lists it as uncharacterized. Lineage: Eukaryota; Viridiplantae; Streptophyta; Magnoliopsida; Ericales; Theaceae. The record is from RefSeq and is a predicted model, not a curated record.